GACGAACGCUGGCGGCGUGCUUAACACAUGCAAGUCGAACGGAAAGGCCCUGCUUUUGUGGGGUGCUCGAGUGGCGAACGGGUGAGUAACACGUGAGUAACCUGCCCUUGACUUUGGGAUAACUUCAGGAAACUGGGGCUAAUACCGGAUAGGAGCUCCUGCUGCAUGGUGGGGGUUGGAAAGUUUCGGCGGUUGGGGAUGGACUCGCGGCUUAUCAGCUUGUUGGUGGGGUAGUGGCUUACCAAGGCUUUGACGGGUAGCCGGCCUGAGAGGGUGACCGGCCACAUUGGGACUGAGAUACGGCGCAGACUCCUACGGGAGGCAGCAGUGGGGAGUAUUGCACAAUGGGCGGAAGCCUGAUGCAGCAGCGCCGCGUGCGGGAUGACGGCCUUCGGGUUGUAAACCGCUUUCGCCUGUGACGAAGCGUGAGUGACGGUAAUGGGUAAAGAAGCACCGGCUAACUACGUG
RNAcentral lists this ribosomal RNA (468 nucleotides) under uncultured bacterium. Its description in RNAcentral is "partial 16S ribosomal RNA". It matches the Rfam family "Bacterial small subunit ribosomal RNA", at positions 28 to 507 of the family's 1533-position model. The record is from RNAcentral.